AGUGUUUAAGAAAGUGACUGCCAAUCUGUG
RNAcentral lists this non-coding RNA (30 nucleotides) under Mus musculus (house mouse). Lineage: Eukaryota; Metazoa; Chordata; Mammalia; Rodentia; Muridae. The record is from RNAcentral.